This 253-nucleotide ribosomal RNA is filed under the name uncultured bacterium. RNAcentral describes it as "partial 16S ribosomal RNA". It matches the Rfam family "Bacterial small subunit ribosomal RNA", at positions 524 to 776 of the family's 1533-position model. The record is from RNAcentral.
UACAGAGGUGGCAAGCGUUGUUCGGAAUUACUGGGCGUAAAGGGCGAGUAGGCGGCCUUCUAAGUCAGACGUGAAAUCCCCCGGCUUAACCUGGGAACUGCGUCUGAUACUGGAUGGCUUGAGUUUGGGAGAGGGAUGCGGAAUUCCAGGUGUAGCGGUGAAAUGCGUAGAUAUCUGGAGGGACACCGGUGGCGAAGGCGGCAUCCUGGACCAACACUGACACUGAGGAGCGAAAGCCAGGGGAGCAAACGGG